This 923-nucleotide ribosomal RNA is filed under the name uncultured bacterium. RNAcentral describes it as "bacterial SSU rRNA". It matches the Rfam family "Bacterial small subunit ribosomal RNA", at positions 8 to 927 of the family's 1533-position model. The record is from RNAcentral.
AGAGUUUGAUCAUGGCUCAGAUUGAACGCUGGCGGCAUGCUUUACACAUGCAAGUCGAACGGCAGCGCGGGCUUCGGCCUGGCGGCGAGUGGCGAACGGGUGAGUAAUAUAUCGGAACGUACCCAGAAGUGGGGGAUAACGUAGCGAAAGUUACGCUAAUACCGCAUACGAUCUACGGAUGAAAGUAGGGGACCGCAAGGCCUUAUGCUUUUGGAGCGGCCGAUAUCUGAUUAGCUAGUUGGUGAGGUAAUGGCUCACCAAGGCGACGAUCAGUAGCUGGUCUGAGAGGACGACCAGCCACACUGGAACUGAGACACGGUCCAGACUCCUACGGGAGGCAGCAGUGGGGAAUUUUGGACAAUGGGGGCAACCCUGAUCCAGCAAUGUCGCGUGAGUGAAGAAGGCCUUCGGGUUGUAAAGCUCUUUUGUCAGGGAAGAAACGGCUGUGGCUAAUAUCCACGGCUAAUGACGGUACCUGAAGAAUAAGCACCGGCUAACUACGUGCCAGCAGCCGCGGUAAUACGUAGGGUGCAAGCGUUAAUCGGAAUUACUGGGCGUAAAGCGUGCGCAGGCGGUUUUGUAAGUCUGACGUGAAAUCCCCGGGCUUAACCUGGGAAUUGCGUUGGAGACUGCAAGGCUAGAAUCUGGCAGAGGGGGGUAGAAUUCCACGUGUAGCAGUGAAAUGCGUAGAGAUGUGGAGGAACACCGAUGGCGAAGGCAGCCCCCUGGGUCAAGAUUGACGCUCAUGCACGAAAGCGUGGGGAGCAAACAGGAUUAGAUACCCUGGUAGUCCACGCCCUAAACGAUGUCUACUAGUUGUCGGGUCUUAAUUGACUUGGUAACGCAGCUAACGCGUGAAGUAGACCGCCUGGGAGUACGGUCGCAAGAUUAAAACUCAAAGGAAUUGACGGGGGACCCGCACA